UCGUGCUAGAUGGGGAGUUAGCGGUGCCCUGCACCUGCAAUCCGCUACAGCAGGAUUGAAUUCCUCUUCGAGGUUUGCGCGAUUCAGGACUGCGGUCCGUGCGCGAUGUUGAUGGUGAGGUCUCGCUCGGCGGGGCGGUGUGAACGGGUCAGGAC
This 155-nucleotide signal recognition particle RNA is filed under the name Chloroflexota bacterium. Its description in RNAcentral is "partial signal recognition particle sRNA large type". It matches the Rfam family "Bacterial large signal recognition particle RNA", at positions 1 to 154 of the family's 256-position model. Rfam says of the family: The signal recognition particle (SRP) is a universally conserved ribonucleoprotein involved in the co-translational targeting of proteins to membranes. Archaeal SRP consists of a 7S RNA and homologues of the eukaryotic SRP19 and SRP54 proteins. In most bacteria, the SRP consists of a 4.5S RNA and the Ffh protein (a homologue of the eukaryotic SRP54 protein). Lineage: Bacteria; Bacillati; Chloroflexota. The record is from RNAcentral.